GUAAGUUGAGCUUUAUGUUAGCCGACAAUAUAGUAGAAAAUUAUACCUCGCCAAGUUAGCGCUUGGCUACACAUCUACUUUUGUUCCUUGCGUCUAGCUUGUUUAACAGUUUGUCACAUCCGAAUUAUACGAUGUUGUUUGAAAAUUCUUUGUUUCCUAUGUAUCUACUAAAGCGUUUUUAAUUCAAUGUUACAGGAAGCUGUAAGGCGCCUCCAUAAUUCGGAAAAGAGCCCGCAUAAAUAUGAUCCACAAACUGGAAUAAGUUCACCUCAUAACCAGGCAGUAAUGACAUAUCUGCUGGAGGAACUGAAGACGACUUUUGCAAAUGCAGACCCUGAGUGUAUAAAGGUUGCUGGAGUCCAGGUCUAGAGUCAUCCAAACAGAUGCAGAGAGAGAACUGUGGCAGACUGCAAUUCUGGACCUGAUGUCCGAUCAAGAGGAUGCCAUCGUUGAUGAAACACCGCUGUGGGUUGUGAGGUCUCCACCUCACAGGA
Polypterus senegalus (gray bichir) is the source of this 494-nucleotide long non-coding RNA. RefSeq lists it as uncharacterized. The transcript has 3 exons. The record is from RefSeq and is a predicted model, not a curated record. NCBI's taxonomy places the organism in Eukaryota, Metazoa, Chordata, Cladistia, Polypteriformes, Polypteridae.